AGUGACUCUCGUAUGUAUUUAUAUUGAUCUAAUAAAGGGGGCAUAUUGCUUUGUCUUCUCCUUUUGAAUAAAAUAUUGCGGAUUCCAGGUUAGUCCAUGACAUCUUGCACUAUUAUUAUUUUCAUAUCGUUCGGUCAUGCAAGUGAAAGGCAAUAAUGACGAUAUAUGAUGAAGUAAUUGUGGCAGAGAGAAGCUUGUAUGAACUCAACUUGUUUUUGUUUUUGUAAAUAUGUUUAGAUGAGUAUCCAUGAUUUAGCGUAUUAUGACCAAACACGUUUGCAAUGACAAUUAGAGAUUAUAGUUGUUCAUGCCAUGCUUAAGUAGGUAGGAGUGGAUAAUGAUUUAUCUUGGAUGUCAACAUGCAUUAAAACGGUUUUGAUGUAGUAUGAUGAUAUGGUAUCCUCCUCUUAAUGUUCGAGUGGCUUGACUUGGCACAUGUUCACGCAUGUAGUUG
This 454-nucleotide long non-coding RNA is filed under the name Hordeum vulgare. Its description in RNAcentral is "long non-coding RNA (HVUL_LNC008882)". Lineage: Eukaryota; Viridiplantae; Streptophyta; Magnoliopsida; Poales; Poaceae. The record is from RNAcentral.